RNAcentral lists this ribosomal RNA (651 nucleotides) under uncultured bacterium. Its description in RNAcentral is "bacterial SSU rRNA". It matches the Rfam family "Bacterial small subunit ribosomal RNA", at positions 551 to 1200 of the family's 1533-position model. The record is from RNAcentral.
UUACUGGGCGUAAAGCGAGUGUAGGUGGCUCAUUCAAGUCACAUGUGAAAUCCCCGGGCUUAACCUGGGAACUGCAUGUGAUACUGGUGGUGCUAGAAUAUGUGAGGGGGAAGUAGAAUUCCAGGUGUAGCGGUGAAAUGCGUAGAGAUCUGGAGGAAUACCGAUGGCGAAGGCAGCUUCCUGGCAUAAUAUUGACACUGAGAUUCGAAAGCGUGGGUAGCAAACAGGAUUAGAUACCCUGGUAGUCCACGCCGUAAACGAUGUCUACUAGCCGUUGGGGUCCUUGAGACUUUAGUGGCGCAGUUAACGCGAUAAGUAGACCGCCUGGGGAGUACGGCCGCAAGGUUAAAACUCAAAUGAAUUGACGGGGGCCCGCACAAGCGGUGGAGCAUGCGGUUUAAUUCGAUGCAACGCGAAGAACCUUACCUGGUCUUGACAUAGUGAGAAUCUCUCAGAGAUGAGAGAGUGCCUUCGGGAACUCACAUACAGGUGCUGCAUGGCUGUCGUCAGCUCGUGUCGUGAGAUGUUGGGUUAAGUCCCGCAACGAGCGCAACCCUUUUCCUUAUUUGCCAGCGGGUUAAGCCGGGACUUUAAGGAUACUGCCAGUGACAAACUGGAGGAAGGCGGGGACGACGUCAAGUCAUCAUGGCC